This 122-nucleotide ribosomal RNA is filed under the name Pteropus alecto (black flying fox). Lineage: Eukaryota; Metazoa; Chordata; Mammalia; Chiroptera; Pteropodidae. The record is from RNAcentral.
GUCUAUGGCCAUGCUACCGCCCUAAACAAGCCCGAUCCCAUCUGAUCUCGGAAGCUAAGCAGGGUUGGACCUGGUUAGUACUUGAAUGAGAGACUACCUAGGAAGACCUGGUGCUGUAGGCG